UACAGGGGUCUCGAGCGUUGUUCGGAUUCAUUGGGCGUAAAGGGUGCGUAGGCGGCGUGGCAAGUCUGAUGUGAAAUCCCGGGGCUCAACCCCGGAACUGCAUUGGAUACUACCAGGCUAGAGUACUGGAGAGGAGAUUGGAAUUUACGGUGUAGCAGUGAAAUGCGUAGAUAUCGUAAGGAAGACCAGUGGCGAAGGCGAAUCUCUGGACAGUUACUGACGCUGAGGCACGAAGGCCAGGGGAGCAAACAGG
This 253-nucleotide ribosomal RNA is filed under the name uncultured bacterium. RNAcentral's name for it is "partial 16S ribosomal RNA". It matches the Rfam family "Bacterial small subunit ribosomal RNA", at positions 524 to 776 of the family's 1533-position model. The record is from RNAcentral.